CGCGGGAUGGUAGCAGUCUGGUAGCUCGUCGGGCUCAUAACCCGAAGGUCGUAGGUUCAAAUCCUUCUCCCGCAACCA
This 78-nucleotide transfer RNA is filed under the name Mycoplasma sp. RNAcentral describes it as "tRNA-Met". It matches the Rfam family "tRNA". From Rfam's summary of the family: Transfer RNA (tRNA) molecules are approximately 80 nucleotides in length. Their secondary structure includes four short double-helical elements and three loops (D, anti-codon, and T loops). The record is from RNAcentral. Lineage: Bacteria; Bacillati; Mycoplasmatota; Mollicutes; Mycoplasmatales; Mycoplasmataceae. RNAcentral also lists the same sequence under 5 other names.